UACGGAGGGCGCAAGCGUUAUCCGGAUUUACUGGGUUUAAAGGGUGCGUAGGCGGGCCUUUAAGUCAGUGGUGAAAUCUCCCCGCUCAACGGGGAAACUGCCAUUGAUACUAUUGGUCUUGAAUUUAGUUGAGGUGGGCGGAAUGUGUCGUGUAGCGGUGAAAUGCUUAGAUAUGACACAGAACACCGAUUGCGAAGGCAGCUCGCUAAACUAAUAUUGACGCUGAGGCACGAAAGCGUGGGGAUCAAACAGG
RNAcentral lists this ribosomal RNA (253 nucleotides) under uncultured bacterium. RNAcentral's name for it is "partial 16S ribosomal RNA". It matches the Rfam family "Bacterial small subunit ribosomal RNA", at positions 524 to 776 of the family's 1533-position model. The record is from RNAcentral.